CCUGGAGAAAUUCAGGUGUGUGAAGGCUACCUGUGUCCUGCGUAACUUCAUGAGGAUGGACUUGAGGACCAGGAGGGGAUCUGCAGCUCGCCGCCGUGUCCCAGAGGAGGAGUCUGCUGCUCUGCAGGAUGUUUCAAAGAUGGGGUCCAACAACGCAGCAAGAGACAAUCCGUGUACAGGAGAUCUUCACCUCCUACUUCUUCAAAGAGGGUGCUGUUCCCUGGCAACACCAUAGACUACACUAUGCACAACCAAAGGCUCUUUUAAUAAGAGCCCAUUCACAUUGCAAUAAGAGUAUUCUUCCAUUUACUUAGCUAUGUCAACUGCAGUUAUUCAAUUCAAUUUCUCUCCCUUUGGUUUCUACUUCUCAGGUGAGGGUGCUGUUUAGGUAAGGGUGUGAUGUCUGUACAAAAACAAAACAGGCUGUUUUAAAUCCCCCAUAUUGAAAAAAUGUGGAACAAUUAGUCACCCUAUAACGCACACCUACACACUCAUGUAUCAAUCUGCUUGAUGGAUUGUGUUGUGCAGUAAGCAGGCUCAGGUGUAUAACUGUGGCUCCUUCCACCUUCAAAGAAUAGGCAAGAGGACCAACCAUUGAGAAUAGUAAGACACUUAUUUAUUUCUGUAACUACGCUAUAUUGUUUGUCCUCAUGGGUCCGUUCAUGUUUUUCAGCAUAAAGUACUCUGCAGCCACUUAGUGUGGUGUGGACACCAGGUUAUAUCAGCUGUGUCGGUGAACCCCUCCUGGAUCUGAACUGGCUACAUAGAGGGCACAUCAUGAUCAGAGAUAUGUUUUGAUGUGGGAGGAUGCCAACCCCCAGUCCCAAUAUCACCACCUCACCCUCUUUUAAGAUAACCUUUGGGCCGGCGUGAGACACUUAUGUAAUUGUGAUAAACUGAGAGAAUAUUUAUGUAGCACUGUGAUUCAUUAAUCAUGUGUUGCCUUCCCUGCUCCUACGUGCUUACCUCUUUCCCUUUCUGUCUUUUACACCUCUCCCGCCACCUCUUUCUUCCUCUGUUUUUAUAAUGCACAACAGAUAUGCAUUGAAGUACAGAUUGAAACUUGUAUUUAUCACACUUGAAUAAUGAGCUUUUCAAUAAAGCGUUUCACAUUCUCUAUUGGUUGAAAUUAAGUGUAAUUUGAUGAAAUACUACACCUAUCCUGUGUUUAUCAGAUCAAUGCAGAUGAAGGGCAUUAGAUAUUGAGAUGAACCGGUGUUAGAGUAUUUACAUGAUGCAUAGGAAGUGUAGUGUACUGUUUUUUAACAUUAUAUUUCUGUAUAUAUGAAUUAACUAGUUAAAUCCUGUUUCUAGUCUAUUAGUUACAAUGUGUAACCAUUGAUGUCUCAGGACCAAGAUUGGUAAACACUGUUGAAGUGUAUAAUUGUAAUACAUACAUGCAGACACAG
Molecule: long non-coding RNA, 1409 nt
Organism: Salvelinus fontinalis (brook trout)
Lineage: Eukaryota; Metazoa; Chordata; Actinopteri; Salmoniformes; Salmonidae
Exons: 3
Source: RefSeq, a predicted model, not a curated record